Molecule: long non-coding RNA, 649 nt
Filed under: Equus caballus (horse)
Lineage: Eukaryota; Metazoa; Chordata; Mammalia; Perissodactyla; Equidae
Description: lncRNA (ENSECAG00000060329.1)
Source: RNAcentral
UAGGCCCUUGGUCUUUUGCAGCCAUUGGUCCCUGGAGUGAAAUAUCGGCUCUUCUUUCUGCUGCUUUCAGACUGGAAUUUAUAUCAUCAGUGCUCUUGAUUCCCAGGCCUGACGUCUCGGACUAGAACUACACAUUGGAUCUCCUGGGUCUCCGGCUUGCCAACUGCAGAUCUUGGAACUUCUCAGCCUCCAUAAUUGCAUGAGUCAAUUUCUUACUAUGUGUGUAUGUGUUGAAGAUGGAAAUUACUACUGUAGAACAUCCAAGAUCUGCAAUGACAACUAUGUCACUAUGAACUCCUCUGCCACGUGUCUGGAGACUUUUCUUUAACAUCAACCUGAGUGUGCAUCUUUAUAUCAGAAAUGCAAAAAUGGAAAAGAAAAAUGUGCACUAAAGGUGAGACAAUAUAAUUAUGUUGUUUAAGUGUUUUGGCCAAACAAUUCAGUGAAAAAAGGAAGCUUCAUGAUAGUAGAUUCAUUUUAGUUUCCCUCUUUAACAUGGUCCUUUAAGUCUUCAAUAUUAUAAUCACCAGUGUAAAGUUAAAUAUGAAUAUUUAAACGUAAAAUGUUGGCCAUAUCACCAGAACUUCUAGAAUCCAAAUAUCUAUGUAGAUCAAAGGAGGACUGCUUUGAUGAAGUGCUCUCUAAAAAC